Molecule: transfer RNA, 66 nt
Filed under: Lethe satyrina
Lineage: Eukaryota; Metazoa; Arthropoda; Insecta; Lepidoptera; Nymphalidae
Description: tRNA-Glu
Source: RNAcentral
AUUUAUAUAGUUUAAUCAAAACAUUACAUUUUCAUUGUAAAAAUAAUAAAAAUUUAUUUAUAAAUA